This 253-nucleotide ribosomal RNA is filed under the name uncultured bacterium. RNAcentral describes it as "partial 16S ribosomal RNA". It matches the Rfam family "Bacterial small subunit ribosomal RNA", at positions 524 to 776 of the family's 1533-position model. The record is from RNAcentral.
UACGUAGGGGGCAAGCGUUGUCCGGAGUUACUGGGCGUAAAGCGCACGCAGGCGGUCUGCUAAGUUUGGAGUGACAGUUGGUGGCUUAACUGCCAAAGUGCUUCGAAAACUGACAGACUUGAGGGCUUCAGAGGGACACGGAAUUCCGGGUGGAGUGGUGAAAUGCGUAGAGAUCUGGAAGAACACCAAAGGCGAAGGCAGCAUCCUGGGAAGUUCCUGACGCUCGGGUGCGAAAGCCAGGGUAGCGAACGGG